AGCGAACGCUGGCGGCAUGCCUAACACAUGCAAGUCUGACGGGCUUGGGGCGACCCAGGUCAGUGGCGGACGGGUGAGGAGCGCGUAGGAACGCAUCCAAGGGGUGGGGGACGAACCGACGGGAAACGUAGCGGCUAAUAACCGCAUGGGGCCGUGAGGGCCGAAAGGACUGGGAGACCAGUCGCCUGUGGAGCGGCCUGCGUCCGAUUAGCUAGGUUGGGGGG
This 224-nucleotide ribosomal RNA is filed under the name uncultured bacterium. Its description in RNAcentral is "partial 16S ribosomal RNA". It matches the Rfam family "Bacterial small subunit ribosomal RNA", at positions 30 to 257 of the family's 1533-position model. The record is from RNAcentral.